AUGCUGUGGUCGUCGGAGGAUGACGACGAUGACGACAGCGGGGCCGAGGACGACGAGUCGGUGGGUUCGGAUUCGGAAGACUACGACGAAGAUGACAGCAGCGGCGAGGAGGAGGAGAGCGACGACGAGGUUGACGGACAAGCGGCCAUGGAGAGCAGCGCCCACAAUGACAUGCUGCUACAGAUGGUACACCCCAGCAAGUUCGUCCUCGAGGGAGGUUCGGCGCCGCGGUUCGCCGCCGCUGGGAAGACGGCCGGCUUCAUGCAGGUCGCCGCCACGGAGAGGCAAGACGAAGCCGACCUCAUGCAGAUCCUCGUGCUCUUCCGCUACACCCGCUUCUCGCCAUCAUCGUGCGGCGUGGAAGCGCGCAGGAGCACGAAAGAGCACCAGCUCCGGUUCAUAGCCACAGGCGAACACACGGCGAGGUCGCUGGAGUGGGCCGGAUCGUCGCUGGGCCUGCUGAUAUACCCCCAUGGCUUCAGGAAGAAGCUCCAGGAGCUAUGGUCCAGCUUGGCGUCGAAGGUGAGCGUCCCGCCGGGAGCAAGACGCGUCGAGGUGUUCGUCGACGUUGGCCUCCUCCGGCGAGCGGACUACACGCUAGCGAGCAUGCGGCACAUGUGCGCCGCGCUGGAGGGCAUGGUGGCGAAGCCGUGGCCCGGGCGCUUCACCGGCAUGGAGCUGCACUUGCCAGAGCCGGUGCGGUGCACCAGGGACGCCGACGAGCGGCCGGCAAAGCAGAGGAAGGAGUGCUGCAAGGACGUCGGUGAGCAGCCGGCGAACCGAAGGAGGGUUGUUGCCGCCGGGGAGGAUUGCCCCGUCUGCUGGCAGCUGCUGGAGGGCGACGACCUCGCCGCGUGGCCGGGCUGCGGCAAGCCCCACGUCUUCCAUGGCGCGUGCCUGGAGCAAGUCCUCAAGAUGAGCGAGACGUGCCCGCUUUGCAGGCGCAACCUGUACAUCGAGCCCAAGAUGGUAGCCGCCAGCUACACCUAG
RNAcentral lists this ribosomal RNA (990 nucleotides) under Triticum aestivum (bread wheat). RNAcentral's name for it is "partial small subunit ribosomal RNA". The record is from RNAcentral. Lineage: Eukaryota; Viridiplantae; Streptophyta; Magnoliopsida; Poales; Poaceae.